This 460-nucleotide ribosomal RNA is filed under the name uncultured bacterium. RNAcentral describes it as "partial 16S ribosomal RNA". It matches the Rfam family "Bacterial small subunit ribosomal RNA", at positions 338 to 795 of the family's 1533-position model. The record is from RNAcentral.
CCUACGGGAGACAGCAGUGAGGAAUAUUGGUCAAUGGACGAGAGUCUGAACCAGCCAAGUAGCGUGAAGGAUGACUGCCCUAUGGGUUGUAAACUUCUUUUAUAUGGGAAUAAAAUGUUCCACGUGUGGGAUUUUGUAUGUACCAUAUGAAUAAGGCUCGGCUAACUCCGUGCCAGCAGCCGCGGUAAUACGGAGGAUCCGAGCGUUAUCCGGAUUUAUUGGGGUUAAAGGGGGCGUAGGUGGAUUGUUAAGUCAGUUGUGAAAGUUUGCGGCUCAACCGUAAAAUUGCAGUUGAAACUGGCAGUCUUGAGUACAGUAGAGGUGGGCGGAAUGCGUGGUGUAGCGGUGAAAUGCUUAGAUAUCACGAAGAACUCCGAUUGCGAAGGCAGUUCACUGGACUGCAACUGACACUGAGGCUCGAAAGUGUGGGUAUCAAACAGGAUUAGAUACCCGAGUAGUC